This 310-nucleotide unclassified non-coding RNA is filed under the name Hevea brasiliensis (rubber tree). Lineage: Eukaryota; Viridiplantae; Streptophyta; Magnoliopsida; Malpighiales; Euphorbiaceae. The record is from RNAcentral.
GCAUCUUCACCUCCCCAAGGUACAUUAUGAAGCCAAACUGAUACAAAAGGCCCCUCAAUCUUACGGUUGAAAUCCUUCAUCUGCAAAGCAGGACCACAAUAUGCCUUGUGCUGAACUAGACUCGAUUUGACUUCACUAAUAGUUUCACCUUCCGGGUCAGCUGGUUCUCCAAAAGUUUCAUAGCCUGGUGCAGCCACAAAUUUUAUACAACCAUUGUACCUCCUGAGGCGGAAUAUUCGUUGUAUUGCAUAAUAAUCUAUUCGAGCACUGCCCAUCCAUCUAUACUUCUCAGACUCGAUAUCAAUAUCAG